GACAGAGGGUGCAAACGUUGUUCGGAAUUACUGGGCGUAAAGCGCGUGUAGGCGGCCCUGCAAGUCGGGUGUGAAAUCCCACGGCUCAACCGUGGAAGUGCAUUCGAAACUGCAGGGCUAGAGUCCUGGAGAGGAAGGUGGAAUGCUUGGUGUAGAGGUGAAAUUCGUAGAUAUCAGGCGGAACACCGGUGGCGAAGGCGGCCUUCUGGACAGUGACUGACGCUGAGACGCGAAAGCGUGGGGAGCAAACAGG
RNAcentral lists this ribosomal RNA (253 nucleotides) under uncultured bacterium. RNAcentral's name for it is "partial 16S ribosomal RNA". It matches the Rfam family "Bacterial small subunit ribosomal RNA", at positions 524 to 776 of the family's 1533-position model. The record is from RNAcentral.